UAACAUUAGGUAUGUAGAGUCACAAAUUGA
This 30-nucleotide non-coding RNA is filed under the name Rattus norvegicus (Norway rat). The record is from RNAcentral. Lineage: Eukaryota; Metazoa; Chordata; Mammalia; Rodentia; Muridae.